AGAGUUUGAUCCUGGCUCAGAAUCAACGCUGGCGGCGUGCCUAACACAUGCAAGUCGAGCGAGAAAGUAGACUUCGGUCUGCGAGUACAGCGGCGCACGGGUGAGUAACACGUGGGUAAUCUGCCUCGGAGUGGGGAAUAACACCGGGAAACCGGUGCUAAUACCGCAUACGAUCACCGAAUCUUCGGAUUUUGUGAUGAAAGGAUUUAUUCGCUCUGAGAGGAGCCCGCGCCCGAUUAGCUAGAUGGUGAGGUAAUGGCUCACCAUGGCAAUGAUCGGUAGCUGGUCUGAGAGGACGGUCGGCCACACUGGAACUGAGACACGGUCCAGACUCCUACGGGAGGCAGCAGUGGGGAAUUAUUGACAAUGGGGGAAACCCUGAUCAUGCAACGCCGCGUGGAUGAUGAAGUAUCUCGGUACGUAAAAUCCUUUCGACAGGGAAGAAACCUUCGGGUUGACGGUACCUGUAGAAGAAGCCCCGGCUAACUCCGUGCCAGCAGCCGCGGUAAUACGGGGGGGGCAAGCGUUGUUCGGAUUUACUGGGCGUAAAGGGCGCGUAGGCGGUUUGUUAAGUCGGAUGUGAAAACUGUGGGCUCAACCCAUAGCCUGCAUCCGAUACUGGCAGACUAGAGUGCGAGAGGGGAAGGCGGAAUUCCUGGUGUAGCGGUGAAAUGCGUAGAUAUCUGGAGGAACACCGGUGGCGAAGGCGGCCUUCUGGAUCGCAACUGACGCUGAGGCGCGAAAGCUAGGGGAGCAAACAGGAUUAGAUACCCUGUAGUCCUAGCCCUAACGAUGGAUACUUGGUGUGGGGGGAGUUGAAUCUCUCGUGCCGGAGCUAACGCGUUAAGUAUCCCCGCCUGGGGAGUACGGUCGCAAGGCUGAAACUCAAAGGAAUUGACGGGGGCCCGCACAAGCGGUGGAGCAUGUGAUUUACUUCGACGCACGCGAAGAACUUACCUGGGCUCGAACGGCUAGUGCCAGUUGGUGAAAGCUAAUGUUCUCUUCGAGACACUAGCCGAG
RNAcentral lists this ribosomal RNA (1020 nucleotides) under uncultured bacterium. RNAcentral describes it as "bacterial SSU rRNA". It matches the Rfam family "Bacterial small subunit ribosomal RNA", at positions 8 to 1037 of the family's 1533-position model. The record is from RNAcentral.